Molecule: ribosomal RNA, 497 nt
Filed under: uncultured bacterium
Lineage: Bacteria
Description: partial 16S ribosomal RNA
Rfam family: Bacterial small subunit ribosomal RNA
Source: RNAcentral
GAUGAACGCUGGCGGCGUGCCUAAUACAUGCAAGUCGAGCGAACGGACGAGGAGCUUGCUCCUCUUACGUUAGCGGCGGACGGGUGAGUAACACGUGGAUAACCUACCUAUAAGACUGGGAUAACUUCGGGAAACCGGAGCUAAUACCGGAUAAUAUAUUGAACCGCAUGGUUCAAUAGUGAAAGACGGUUUUGCUGUCACUUAUAGAUGGAUCCGCGCCGCAUUAGCUAGUUGGUAAGGUAACGGCUUACCAAGGCAACGAUGCGUAGCCGACCUGAGAGGGUGAUCGGCCACACUGGAACUGAGACACGGUCCAGACUCCUACGGGAGGCAGCAGUAGGGAAUCUUCCGCAAUGGGCGAAAGCUUGACGGAGCAACGCCGCGUGAGUGAUGAAGGUCUUCGGAUCGUAAAACUCUGUUAUUAGGGAAGAACAAAUGUGUAAGUAACUAUGCACGUCUUGACGGUACCUAAUCAGAAAGCCACGGCUAACUACGUG